UGUGUUUUCUUUUCAUCUUGUGUUUUCCAGGAGCUGGUGCUGGGGAAGGCACUAAUGAUGGUGAGGGGGCUGGUGGUGGAAUAGCUGGUGCUGGCACAGGUGCCGGUGGUGGUGUUGCUGGUGCGGGUGCAGGUACUUCCUUAGCUGGAGCUGGUGCUGGUGGUGGUGUUGCUGGAGCUGGUGCUGGAGACACUUGUGGUGGCGGUGUAGCUGGUGGUGGUAUUGGAGUGGCAGCUGGAGAACUUUGUGGUGGUUGUGGUGGUGGAACUACUGGGGUGGUAGCUGGUGCGACUUUAGGAGAUGGUGAUGAUAUAGGAGUGGUUGCAGUUGGGGGUGUCACUGCACUUGCUGGUGAUUGUGUUGGAGUGGUUGGUGUG
This 377-nucleotide long non-coding RNA is filed under the name Populus trichocarpa (black cottonwood). RNAcentral describes it as "long non-coding RNA (PTRI_LNC002546)". The record is from RNAcentral. Lineage: Eukaryota; Viridiplantae; Streptophyta; Magnoliopsida; Malpighiales; Salicaceae.